RNAcentral lists this ribosomal RNA (319 nucleotides) under Fibrobacter succinogenes. RNAcentral describes it as "partial 16S ribosomal RNA". Lineage: Bacteria; Pseudomonadati; Fibrobacterota; Fibrobacteria; Fibrobacterales; Fibrobacteraceae. The record is from RNAcentral.
GGAGUCUGGGCCGUAUCUCAGUCCCAAUGUGGCCGAUCACCCUCUCAGGCCGGCUACCGAUCGUCGCCUUGGUGGGCCGUUGCCCCGCCAACUAGCUAAUCGGACGCAAGCUCAUCCCAUACCGAUAAAUCUCUAGUCAACUCCUCAUGCAAGGAGCCACUCUCCUGGACAUUAACCGCGCGUUGGCAGGGGUAUUUCCUGAUAUGGGGCAGAUUGCUUACGCGUUACUCACCCGUUCGCCGCUCGGCAUUGCUGCCUCGCUCGACUUGCAUGUAUAAGACACGCCACCAGCGUCGUUCUGAGCCAGGAUCAAACUACU